GACGAACGCUGGCGGCGUGCCUAACACAUGCAAGUCGAACGGAACUGUUUUGAAAGAUUUCUUCGGAAUGAAUUUGAUUUAGUUUAGUGGCGGACGGGUGAGUAAUGCGUGAGUAACCUGCCUUCAAGAGGGGAAUAACAUUCUGAAAAGAAUGCUAAUACCGCAUGACAUAUCGGAACCACUUGGUUUUGAUAUCAAAGAUUUUAUCGCUUGAAGAUGGACUCGCGUACGAUUAGUUAGUUGGUGAGGUAACGGCUCACCAAGACCGCGAUCGGUAGCCGGACUGAGGGGAUACGCGGCCACAUUGGGACUGAGACACGGCCCAGACUCCUACGGGAGGCAGCAGUGGGGGAUAUUGCGCAAUGGGGGCAACCCUGACGCAGCAACGCCGCGUGAAGGAUGAAGGUUUUCGGAGUGUAAACUUCUUUUAUUAAGGACGAAAAAUGACGGUACUUAAUGAAUAAGCUCCGGCUAACUACGUG
RNAcentral lists this ribosomal RNA (482 nucleotides) under uncultured bacterium. Its description in RNAcentral is "partial 16S ribosomal RNA". It matches the Rfam family "Bacterial small subunit ribosomal RNA", at positions 28 to 507 of the family's 1533-position model. The record is from RNAcentral.